This 318-nucleotide unclassified non-coding RNA is filed under the name uncultured fungus. RNAcentral describes it as "sequence contains ITS1". The record is from RNAcentral. Lineage: Eukaryota; Fungi.
GUAUUAACUUUUGUUACCCCGUGGGGCGGUUUACAUGCGUUAUAAGACAGGCUGUGGUGUAUCUGGGCAGCGAACACCCCGAUCCGACGCUGAAGCGCGCCGGACUUUUAGCCGAAGGAGGGCGCUCGCCUAGGACAAUGAGCCCCCGAUCCGACGCUGAACGUGCCGGACUUUUAGCCAAAGGAGGGCGCUCAUGCCUAAAGGUGCACAGGUGUGAAUGUAGUGUCGGGGGCGCAGCACAUGGCCUAAGGACCCAGCAUCAAACCCCACCCACAUUUGACUACGUUAAUGAUCCUUCCGCAGGUUCACCUACGGAAA